Molecule: non-coding RNA, 81 nt
Organism: Ciona savignyi (Pacific transparent sea squirt)
Lineage: Eukaryota; Metazoa; Chordata; Ascidiacea; Phlebobranchia; Cionidae
Source: Rfam
GCUGCGAUGGCCGAGUGUUAAGGCGUUGGACUCGAAAUCCAAUGGGACAUUCCCGCGCAGGUUUGAAUCCUGUUCGCAGCG